Molecule: ribosomal RNA, 450 nt
Filed under: uncultured Glomeromycotina
Lineage: Eukaryota; Fungi; Glomeromycota
Description: SSU rRNA
Rfam family: Eukaryotic small subunit ribosomal RNA
Source: RNAcentral
AGCAGCCGCGGUAAUUCCAGCUCCAAUAGCGUAUAUUAAAGUUGUUGCAGUUAAAAAGCUCGUAGUUGAAUUUCGGGAUCGACAGGUUGGUCGCGCCUUCGGUGUGUACUGGUCUAGUCGGUUUCUCCCUUCUGACGAACCAUGAUGUCAUUAAUUUGGUGUCGUGGGAAAUCAGGACUGUUACUUUGAAAAAUUAGAGUGUUUAAAGCAGGCAUUAGCUUGAAUACAUUAGCAUGGAAUAAUGAAAUAGGACGUUUGAUCCUAUUUUGUUGGUUUCUAGAAUCGACGUAAUGAUUAAUAGGGAUAGUUGGGGGCAUUAUUAUUCAAUUGUCAGAAGUGAAAUUCUUGGAUUUAUUGAAGACUAACUACUGCGAAAGCAUUUGCCAAGGAUGUUUUCAUUAAUCAAGAACGAAAGUUAGGGGAUCGAAGACGAUCAGAUACCGUCGUAGU